Molecule: ribosomal RNA, 468 nt
Filed under: uncultured bacterium
Lineage: Bacteria
Description: partial 16S ribosomal RNA
Rfam family: Bacterial small subunit ribosomal RNA
Source: RNAcentral
GACGAACGCUGGCGGCGUGCUUAACACAUGCAAGUCGAACGGAAAGGCCCUGCUUGCAGGGUGCUCGAGUGGCGAACGGGUGAGUAACACGUGGGUGAUCUGCCCCUUACUUUGGGAUAAGCCUGGGAAGCUGGGUCUAAUACUGGAUAGGACCAUGCUGUAGGUGGUGUGGUGGAAAGAUUAGUUUCGGUAAGGGAUGAGCUCGCGGCCUAUCAGCUUGUUGGUGGGGUAAUGGCCUACCAAGGCGUCGACGGGUAGCCGGCCUGAGAGGGUGGACGGCCACAUUGGGACUGAGAUACGGCCCAGACUCCUACGGGAGGCAGCAGUGGGGAAUAUUGCACAAUGGGCGCAAGCCUGAUGCAGCGACGCCGCGUGGGGGAUGACGGCCUUCGGGUUGUAAACUCCUUUCAGCCAUGACGAAGCCCUUGUGGUGACGGUAGUGGUAGAAGAAGCACCGGCUAACUACGU